RNAcentral lists this ribosomal RNA (406 nucleotides) under uncultured bacterium. Its description in RNAcentral is "partial 16S ribosomal RNA". It matches the Rfam family "Bacterial small subunit ribosomal RNA", at positions 30 to 526 of the family's 1533-position model. The record is from RNAcentral.
AUUGAACGCUGGCGGCAGGCCUAACACAUGCAAGUCGAGCGAGCGGCGGACGGGUGAGUAAUGUCUGGGAAACUGCCUGAUGGAGGGGGAUAACUACUGGAAACGGUAGCUAAUACCGCAUACCAUCAGAUGUGCCCAGAUGGGAUUAGCUAGUAGGUGGGGUAAUGGCUCACCUAGGCGACGAUCCCUAGCUGGUCUGAGAGGAUGACCAGCCACACUGGAACUGAGGCACGGUCCAGACUCCUACGGGAGGCAGCAGUGGGGAAUAUUGCACAAUGGGCGCAAGCCUGAUGCAGCCAUGCCGCGUGUAUGAUGAAGGCCUUCGGGUUGUAAAGUACUUUUGGCGGAGAAGCGGUAACAGCAGAAUAAGCACCGGCUAACUACGUGCCAGCAGCCGCGGUAAUAC